This 21-nucleotide non-coding RNA is filed under the name Arabidopsis thaliana (thale cress). The record is from RNAcentral. Lineage: Eukaryota; Viridiplantae; Streptophyta; Magnoliopsida; Brassicales; Brassicaceae.
GUGGCAGAGUGGCCUUGCUGC